Long non-coding RNA from Prunus dulcis (almond), 367 nucleotides. RefSeq lists it as uncharacterized. Lineage: Eukaryota; Viridiplantae; Streptophyta; Magnoliopsida; Rosales; Rosaceae. The transcript has 2 exons. The record is from RefSeq and is a predicted model, not a curated record.
CGACGCCGUAUCCGCCACGUGACCCGUGUCAGAGUAGUAGGAGACGCUUCAGUGAAGAAAAGAGUACGGCCAUCCUCUCCAUUUCUUGUUCCACAACACCAAAAGCUGCAAGGCACUGGAGCAGAUCAAGUUAAUUUUUCAGCAGCCAAGAAGCAUUCUACCAUGCAAGUCAUAGAGCAAAGCAGAUGUGUUGUGAAGUUUGCUUUAUCAUUUGUUUUGUUGUGCACAGUGGGUGAGGGAGAUGAGAGAUGUUUGAGAGAUCAUGCCAAGUGUUUCAUAUGUGCACAAUAUUUUCAUCAUAACACUAGGAAAUAACUUGAGGGAAACUUUUAACAAAUGGAAUCAAAGGCCAUUCCUAAGUUACAUU